CUUUUGCUCAAUCAAACAUUGUUUGCUCAUCUUCAUAAGACUGCGCUUCGACAUCUGUACUCUGCACGUCUUGAUUCCUCACAACAAUUUUGUGGACACUUUGAUAGAACUAGAGUUCAGGGGUACACAAAAGAAGACUCGAAGUAGACACAUUCCCUAUAUCAAAAAGUUUUACCUUACCUCUUUUGUUACUUCACACAUUGACGACUUCCAUUAUAUGAUUGCCAGAAUCAUCCUUGGGAAAGAAAUUUGCCAAGAUGGAGACUAAUGCUUAAACUUGAACUAUUUUUGUGUUUUCUAUUGCCAGUCAAGUAUAUUUAGCUUCAUUUCUCUUAACACUUUGAUUUCCUCGAGCAGUGGAUGGAAUUCGGCGAGACAAAUUGAUGGUCAGAGUUGAAGAGAAGAAGCUUAGAUGAAAUGAAAAACAGACAUAGAUGUGAAGAUUUCCUGCAUCUUAGUAAGAUGAGAAUAGACAGACUCAAGGAAUGGGUUGACAGAAACCUCCAACAAGAGCUCCUCGGAUGAAAACUAAGGAUCCCUAUCUUUGCAUAUGAAUAAGUUGAUCUUUUGGACUUAUGGUGGCAAAAUUGUGAAUGUUACCUAUCACUUGUGUCAAAAAAUUGUCAAGGAACCGAGGCAAGGUAUUACACAAAGCUUCAGAAGUUGAUGACUCCCCUGAAAUUGGUGAUCUUGAAGAGGAAGCGAAGCUGCUAUGAGAUAUUGCUAUAAGUUAAACCUUCAACUUUCCAUUGGUUGUGAACAUCUUUGUAUAUUUCAAUUAGGCUACUUUUGGUGUACAUAAGUAAUAGCAGGCCUUCCAACUGACUUAGGAUCAUUUUCUGCUGACCUUUUUUGAAUGUUUUAAUCAACUGGAUCUGUGACUUUCCAUA
Solanum pennellii is the source of this 890-nucleotide long non-coding RNA. RefSeq lists it as uncharacterized. The transcript has 3 exons. NCBI's taxonomy places the organism in Eukaryota, Viridiplantae, Streptophyta, Magnoliopsida, Solanales, Solanaceae. The record is from RefSeq and is a predicted model, not a curated record.